GGGCGCAUAACUCAGCGGUAGAGUGCAUCCUUCACACGGAUGAAGUCACAAGUUCAAAUCUUGUUGCGCCCA
Molecule: transfer RNA, 72 nt
Filed under: Deltaproteobacteria bacterium
Lineage: Bacteria; Pseudomonadati; Myxococcota; Myxococcia
Also listed under: 4 other names
Description: tRNA-Val
Rfam family: tRNA
About the family: Transfer RNA (tRNA) molecules are approximately 80 nucleotides in length. Their secondary structure includes four short double-helical elements and three loops (D, anti-codon, and T loops).
Source: RNAcentral